AUACGUAGGGAGCGAGCGUUAUCCGGAUUCAUUGGGCGUAAAGCGCGCGUAGGCGGAUGCCUAAGCGGAACCUCUAAUCCGAGGGCUCAACCCCCGGCCGGGUUCCGAACUGGGCGUCUCGAGUGCGGUAGGGGCAAGUGGAAUUCCAUGUGUAGCGGUGGAAUGCGCAGAUAUAUGGAAGAACACCGAUGGCGAAGGCAGCUUUGCUGGGCCGGCACUGACGCUGAGGUGCGAAAGCGUGGGGAGC
RNAcentral lists this ribosomal RNA (247 nucleotides) under uncultured bacterium. Its description in RNAcentral is "partial 16S ribosomal RNA". It matches the Rfam family "Bacterial small subunit ribosomal RNA", at positions 523 to 769 of the family's 1533-position model. The record is from RNAcentral.